AUUGAACGCUGGCGGCAUGCCUUACACAUGCAAGUCGAACGGUAACAGGUUAAGCUGUCGUGUGGCGCUCGGGAGUGUCAUAUAUCGGAACGUGCCCAGGCGAGGUGCAUAACUGCUCGAAAGAGCAGCUAAUACCGCAUACGACCACAGCAUGAUAGCGGAGGAUCGAAAGACCUGACGCUAGUGGAGCGUGCGAUAUCAGAUUAGGUAGUUGGUGUGGUAAGGGCUCACCAAGACGACGAUCUGUAGCUGGUCUGAGAGGACGACCAGCCACACUGGGACUGAGACACGGCCCAGACUCCUACGGGAGGCAGCAGUGGGGAAUUUUGGACAAUGGGCGCAAGCCUGAUCCAGCCAUGCCGCGUGCAGGAAGAAGGCCUUCGGGUUGUAAACCGCUUUUGUCGGGGAAGAAAAGGUUCUGGCUAAUACCUGGGCCUCAUGACGUUACCUGAAGAAUAAGCACCGGCUAACUCCGUG
RNAcentral lists this ribosomal RNA (477 nucleotides) under uncultured bacterium. RNAcentral describes it as "partial 16S ribosomal RNA". It matches the Rfam family "Bacterial small subunit ribosomal RNA", at positions 30 to 507 of the family's 1533-position model. The record is from RNAcentral.